ACGGGUGUAGUUCAGUUGGUAGAGCACUAGUCUCCAAAACUAGGUGUCGGGAGUUCGAGCCUCUCCGCCCGUGCAA
This 76-nucleotide transfer RNA is filed under the name Bacteroides coprosuis DSM 18011. Its description in RNAcentral is "tRNA-Trp". It matches the Rfam family "tRNA". From Rfam's summary of the family: Transfer RNA (tRNA) molecules are approximately 80 nucleotides in length. The record is from RNAcentral. Lineage: Bacteria; Pseudomonadati; Bacteroidota; Bacteroidia; Bacteroidales; Bacteroidaceae.